This 554-nucleotide long non-coding RNA is filed under the name Cricetulus griseus (Chinese hamster). RNAcentral describes it as "lncRNA (ENSCGRG00015037243.1)". The record is from RNAcentral. Lineage: Eukaryota; Metazoa; Chordata; Mammalia; Rodentia; Cricetidae.
CUUUUGGCUUCAGUGGCUCCAUCUCAAAAGUGGAUGAGAUACUCCAUUUGGAUAUCAGGCUCUCUCCUCAGGAAAGGCAAACCAGGUUCCCCACUUGACCUAGUUAGCCUUACCUGUCAACUCAACAGAGCCUGGAGUCACAUCAGAAAGGAAUUUCAGUUGAUUGCCUGAGUCGAAAUUUUCCUGUGUGCAUGUCUUUGGGGGAUUGUCUUGAUUGCCGACUGUGGGCAAGACCAUCCCUAGGGGUAAACUCGCCAGGGCAAUGCUGGAGAGCUCACCCUGGUGGUGAAGACAGGGAAGAGCUGGCAGGCUGACCAACCAUGCAACUACUCAGGCCCAGAACCAGAGCUUAUCCCUCCUCCUCGGGGUCUCACUGUGUACCCUUGUCUGGCCUGGAACUCACAGAGGUCCUGUCUCUCAAGUGCUGGGACUGAAGGCAUGCACUACCACACCCAUCCCAUGAUCAGAGAAUUUGAUCACCGCAUAAAGGACACUAUAACAAAACUGCAUGUGUACACUCAGCUCUGGCACAUCUUCUCUUUUCCAUUUUCUAG